GAUCUCCAAGAAAUUCCCCACUAAUAUUACUGUAUAACUUAUCAAUGCUACACGACAAAUUAUACAAAGACACAAAUAUAAAACUCACCACCCAUUUCAUCAUUCACUCCCACACUUUCUUCCAUUUUUGAAAAGCUCUACCUGUGACCACCACACUUCCAUUCUCAAUCCAUGGACGGCCAUUCAGGAAUGCAUGGCCAUGGUUUCGGUAAUGCCAGAACUCCUUUGUUAGACAGACAUGCCGUAAGUUUUUAAGUUUUUUUUUUCUACUUCCGUAAAACUUCUAUUUUCAUCUAAUAACUAUAAAAUUCCCUUUUAUUUGUUGGGUUUUAGCGAAUUUGUGUUUAUAGAUUUGUUGGAUUUUAGUAAAUUUGCGUUCGGAGUUUAUUUUACUGUGUAAAAUCGCAGGUGUUGAAAAUUUUCUGCGAAUUGAGGUUGUUAGGUCAUGAUGUUCGAUAUUGGUACUAAAUUAAUUAGCCCAACUUCUGAUUGUAUUUUUUUUGAAUGGGGUUUGAUGGUUCAUAGACUUCUCGGUGUUUAGUUUGGUUAGUACAUCGUCAUGGGAAUGGAAACUGGACUUAAUCCAUAGCUCUUCUUGUCCAAUUUGAAGUUUACUGCGUAGAAAUGUAUCUAUAUUAUUACUUAUUUCAGAUUCAAAAUCAUUGAGCAUGUAGUGCUAAUGGUGAGGAGUAUUACAAUAGCAGCUUUGAGAAUUUGAUUAGGCAAGGGAAUGCUGUGUGUUUUAGCAGAUUCUUUUUUUAGUUUUAAUUGUUCGUGUCGUCUUAAUAGUUAGGGAGAAAGAGAAAUGAUGCUGGAGAUGAUCAGCUGGGAGACCUUGAGCAUGGUGAUUCUGUUCCGGUAACUUUAAGUUUUGUUUUCAUGUUUCAAGUCAUGUAUAGUACUAACCAUUGUUGUGUACAAGUAGCUAACUUCAUCUUCAUCUUCAUCUUCAGGCACCAAAUGUUGGAUUUGGCAGAGUUAUUUCACUUGUAAGUGGAUAUUGUUUGUGUCUGUAGUUUGGCAGGCAAACUGUGUGCAUCAAACUUUUAACAUGCACCUAUUUUGCAGGCAAAGCCUGAAGCAGGAAAUUUGGUACUGGCGACAAUUGCUUUGCUGUUUGCAGCAACAUCAAGCAUUUUGAUUGUCGGUACCUCUUUUUCAGUUCACUGUUUUUCUACUGAAGCAAAAGUUGGAUUUCCUAGAUUUUCUUAUCGCUGACUUUAUAAUGCUCAAUUUUGCAGCCAAAAUUUGGGGGAAAGAUAAUUGAUAUUGUUUCAGAUGAUAUCCAAACACCUGAACAGAAAUCAGAAGCUUUAAAUGCAGUCAAGAACACAAUACUUGAAAUCUUUCUGAUUGUCAUUGUUGGGUAUUCCCUGCAACUUUUGGCCAACUUUCUUUUUCUAUCUUUUCAUGCUCUGCUAAAGCAAAUCUUCAAUUUAAUUAUUGGUAACCUGAAUCGUUGCUUGGAGUUUGUAUUCUACUAAUCUAGGCUUUCACGGUGAAGGGGGCACAAUGAGACACUUGGCCCCUCCACAAUGGGUUUCCCCUUCAAUUGCAUUUUGUAAUGUUUAACUUUGCAACAAUAAUUGUACUAAAUCGACCACCAUCCAUCAAAUUGAAAUCAACAAAUUUUCAAUAUUUUAACUAUACCAUCCAUCAAAAUAUAUACACAAAAACAUAUUUCGGUUAAUAACCAACAAAUCACCAAUUAUAAUAUCGGAUCAGCUACCAAAGUAUAUUCCUUAACACAUAUCACUAUUUAAAAUAACAUAUCAUCAAUAAUUGUACCAAAUUGACUACCAAAGUGUACACAAAAAAAAUGUGUUUAAAAUUUUUCCCGAUAAUUUAUGGACCACAUGAUACAAAUUAUAUUAACUAUGAUAAUGCGGAUCUUCUUCAAAUUAACAGUUGUAAUUUUUUAUUUUGAACAAACAAUCAGGCUCUUGACAUCGAUAUAAACCUUCAUCAAAUGAGGACUCUUUCCGGGAGCAUUAUCAAAAGCAACUUUUUUACUCAUAAUCGAAUUGUGAUGUAAGAGAUGAUUUUAUAAAAAAAACAAAGAGAAAUAUUUUCAAGGAGUUUCAAAACUUUUUCUUGAAAAAGAUGAAAAAAAUGUGUGCAGCAAUGCGUUUACCAAGGAAAAAAAAGAGUACAUCAAUGAUAUUUCUUCCGUGUAAGGUUAACAUGAAAGAGAAAGUAAGAUAUUUAUUAAAGAUAAGGGUCUGAAAAAUAUCCUAACUUUGGUCAGAUCUACUGUUGCGAUACUAAAUUUUCAGGAGGAUCUAUUACCUCCCUAGACUAUUUAAUACCGUAUUUUUUAUCUCAUGAACUAUUUUAAUAGUGUAUUUUUAAAGAUAUAUAUGUGCUCACGUGGACACAUUACUAUUUAUAAUUUUGCAUAUUUUUUAUGUCCACGUGAACAAAUAUCUAUGUUUAAAAUACGGUAUUAAAUAGUCUAGGGAGGUAAUAGAUCCUCAUGAAAGUUUAGUAUCGUAACAGCAAAUUCGAUCAAAAUUGAGAUAUUUUUCAGACCCUUAUUUUUUUUUAAAGUAAAUAGUGGAUAAACAUGAAAUGCUAUUCCUAUAGGCUAAUAAAUUAUUAUUAUUAUUAUUUAGGUAAAAAGUGGUAAGCCACGAGUGCAAGAUUGGAAAACGAUAUUGUAAUAGUAGAUUUUUCUACUUUAAACACUAGUGACGAUGAAUAUUCUUUUGAACAAAACUUGGGUCAUCGUAUCAACUUGCCGCUAUAGAAUUUCUUAGCAACUACUACUCUAUUCAUAUACAAAGUAUAAGCCAUUUCCAUGUCUUUCCGUUUUCCAAGAAAUCCAUAAAUUAUUAACUUGUACUAGUAUAUUAUCGUGAAUUAGAAUCACCAAACAAAGAGAAUAAGAACUUCUUGAAAGGAUUAAAAAAUAAAGAGAAUUUCAUACCUUAAAUUAUCCAAUUAGUUACCAUAUUUUUUGAGUUAUACUACUUCCUCCGUUCCUUUUUAUAUGUCAUCCUUACUAUAAAUAGUUGGUCAAUAAUACUCCUUCUGUUCCUAAUUACUUGUCCAUUUUUCUUUUUAUAGUUGUCCCUAAUUACUUGUCCAUUUUGACAAAUCAAGAAAGGACAAUAUUUUUUUACCUAUUAUACCCUCAAUUAAAUGACUAAUUACUUUGAAAAAUGCAAAAUUUUCAUCUACUUCAUAAUUAAUAGGAGUAAAAUGGUAAACUCAUUAUGCCAUUAAUUAAUUUCUUAAUAUGUGUGUCAAUUCAAAAGUGGACAAGUAAUUAGGGACAGAGGGAGUAUUUGUCAUUUUAUAAAAUCAAUGCAUAAAUUUGACCAAUCUAGAAAAAUUAAGUGAAUAAUUCAUGUUCAUUGGUCAAAUUAAUUAAUCAAAAUAAAUUAAUUUAUAUUCAUUGAUUGAAAAGUUGACUUAAAAAAAUAAAAAUAAAGUAGAAUAGUUAACUUGCUUAAUUUUUAAUGCAUGUGAAAUAAAAAAUGCUGACAUAUAAAUAGGAACGGAGGGAGUAAAAAACAAAAACAACAAUAAUAACUUAUUUAAUGAACUUGGAAUACUUCAAUUAAAUUUAUACCACAGUAAAAUCUCACUAAAUUAAUAUAGGUGAGACAAUGAAAUGUUAUUAAUUUGUUGAGGUAUUAUUAAUAUUUAUUAAUUUAAAGAAUGUUUUGUGAAAACGUCAUUUUUGAACUUGAGGCCAUGAUAAGUGAUCCCUAUUACUGAAAAAAUUUGACAUCAAUAACUUCUUGGAUUAUCUAGAUGAAAGUAAUACAUGUUGAGAGGUCCAUAACUUAGAAGAAAUUGUGGCUACCAUAAAAAAAACAAUGUUGAUGAUGAAGUUGAAUAUAAUACAGUACAUUUGUAAUUAUUAACGCGAAAGGAAACACUUAUCACAUCUAUAAAUUUUCACAAUUUUAUGGUGCAGUUCAAAAAGAUAACACCAAAACUUUUUGAUGUAAUAAGAAAAGUUAGAGAUGAGCUUCAACUAGAUUUAUUUAAAAUAAAUAAAUAAUAGAAUCAUAUUUCACUAAAUUGUCUUAGAUAUAUUAAUACUCUUAAAGAAUUAUUAAUUCAUAAUAUUGUUGGGAUCAUAUAUUUAUAUAGGAAUCUUACGAAAAUAUAUAAUUUUAUUAACUUAUCAAAAUGAGUGAUUUUUUCCACUGACCAAGUCAGAACCAAAAAAAUAUUAAUUUAUCAAAUAUUAAUUUAGUGAGGUUUAAUUGUAUCUCUUUAUUUGAAUUGCUUUAAUGAUACAGAAUAUUCACUCCGUUUACUUAUUUAGAUGGAAAAGGUGCUGAAAAGUCAUAUGAUUCAACUAACAAAAGCAGGCCGGGUCGGGCCCACAAAACUUUUAACGACUUAUUUCGGUCUUUUAAAAGUAUAUAGUUCUGGGAAGCAACUCAUUUCAAUUUACUUGUAGUAAAAUGUCGCUAAUUUUCCUGUGGAUUAUAAGCAACAAAGUAAUACUCCAAUAUUUAGUAUAAUUUCACAAAUUUAGACUUAAAGAAAAUAGUAAAAUGUACAGAGACUUGUCUUUUAUCUCAAAAGUUAAAUAAUUGUUUCAUAGAUCCAUCACAAUCUUAAAAAAAGAAUAAAAUAAAAUAAGAACAAGCAAUAUGGAGAUUAAUGAGCAAAAUUUGUGGCAAUUUUUGAGAACAGUUGCCACUUGCCAGUAUAACAAAAUUGUUAAAUCUCCAUAGUGUUGCAAAUGACAUAAGCAAUUACCUAAAUAGAAUUUUUUAUUGACAGCAAGUCGACCAUGGAGUCUUGCGUCUUGAUCUCCAAGAAAUUCCCCACUAAUAUUAUAACUUAUCAAUGCUACACGACAAAUUAUACAAAGACACAAAUAUAAAACUCACCACCCAUUUCAUCAUUCACUCCCACACUUUCUUCCAUUUUUGAAAAGCUCUACCUGUGACCACCACACUUCCAUUCUCAAUCCAUGGACGGCCAUUCAGGAAUGCAUGGCCAUGGUUUCGGUAAUGCCAGAACUCCUUUGUUAGACAGACAUGCC
This 5017-nucleotide long non-coding RNA is filed under the name Solanum tuberosum (potato). RNAcentral's name for it is "long non-coding RNA (STUB_LNC004145)". The record is from RNAcentral. Lineage: Eukaryota; Viridiplantae; Streptophyta; Magnoliopsida; Solanales; Solanaceae.